UCCACCGUCCAGACAACAACCCGCGUAUCUACGCUGGAGAACCAUAGUCGUCCACAUACUCUCUGUCCCUAAUGCAUGUGGCGACGGAUUGGCAUGUUUACGGCAACCGGAUCGGCUCCGUACACCCCUUGAUAGCCGAGCUGUUUUCCAUUUAUAUAAGCUGUGCGCUCCAACACGCAUAGCCAGGGUGGCUACCAGCUCCCAUUUCUUCAGAUAUGGCGUACGUGGUGCCUAUUCACCAUGCAAGCAGCAUCCGCCAUGCCAUAAAACUCCAGUUCUUGGAGCCAGAAAAAGACUGUUUAGUCGUUGCGAAAUCCAACCGCCUCGAAUUCUACUCCCAAACCCCCGAUGGCCUCUCUCUCGAAUACUCAAAGGCCAUAUACGGCAAAGUGACUAUGCUUGCAAAGCUCUCACGGCCUCCGCUACCUUCGAAACCACCCCCGCAACCACAGUCCCUGGAUCACCAGCUACCCCUACAACCGGCCCCCUUCCGUCCCCAAACCGAUAUCCUCUUCAUAGGCACGGACAGGGCCUCCUACUUCACCGUCUCCUGGGACCAGAAGACAAAAAAUCUCCGCACAGAACGUAAAUACGUUGACCUCGCCGACCCCUCGGCCCGCGCGUCCCAACUGGGCGACCGCUGCCUCAUCGAUCCCUCCGGCAGAUUUCUCACACUAGAGUUAUACGAAGGCAUCGUCACAGUUAUACCCAUCGGUCAGCCACUGCGAUCACGAGGGUCUGGGCGGAGGUUGGGGAAACGCGCUGCUAACGCCAGUGCAAGCGCCGCAUACGCAAAUCAGGAUGCAGCAGCAGGGGCUGCGGCGGCGGACCUAGAGCUAGGCGAGCCGUGUCAGGCGCGCGUUGAGGAAUUGUUGGUGCGGUCCUCGACGUUUUUACAUACGCAGGCUGAUACGCUACCGAGGAUGGCGCUUUUAUAUGAAGAUACGAUGGGGAAGGUGCGGUUGAAGGUUAGGG
Molecule: small RNA, 975 nt
Filed under: Histoplasma capsulatum var. duboisii H88
Lineage: Eukaryota; Fungi; Ascomycota; Eurotiomycetes; Onygenales; Ajellomycetaceae
Description: Histoplasma capsulatum H88 hypothetical RNA
Source: RNAcentral